UGGGGAAUUUUGGACAAUGGGCGCAAGUCUGAUCCAGCCAUGCCGCGUGCGGGAAGAAGGCCUUCGGGUUGUAAACCGCUUUUGUCAGGGAAGAAACGAGUUUCUCUAAUACAGAGACCUAAUGACGGUACCUGAAGAAUAAGCUCCGGCUAACUACGUGCCAGCAGCCGCGGUAAUACGUAGGGUGCAAGCGUUAAUCGGAAUUACUGGGCGUAAAGCGUGCGCAGGCGGUUAUAUAAGACAGAUGUGAAAUCCCCGGGCUCAACCUGGGACCUGCAUUUGUGACUGCAUAGCUAGAGUACGGUAGAGGGGGAUGGAAUUCCGCGUGCAGCAGUGAAAUGCGUAGAUAUGCGGAGGAACACCGAUGGCGAAGGCAAUCCCCUGGACCUGUACUGACGCUCAUGCACGAAAGCGUGGGGAGCAAACA
This 427-nucleotide ribosomal RNA is filed under the name uncultured bacterium. RNAcentral's name for it is "bacterial SSU rRNA". It matches the Rfam family "Bacterial small subunit ribosomal RNA", at positions 355 to 774 of the family's 1533-position model. The record is from RNAcentral.